Ribosomal RNA from Lupinus angustifolius (narrow-leaved blue lupine), 375 nucleotides. It matches the Rfam family "Bacterial large subunit ribosomal RNA", at positions 30 to 551 of the family's 2925-position model. NCBI's taxonomy places the organism in Eukaryota, Viridiplantae, Streptophyta, Magnoliopsida, Fabales, Fabaceae. The record is from Rfam.
UCUACGGACAAGCAAGAGACAAUGGGGCGAACUAAAACAUCUUAGUAGCUAGAGGAAAAGAAAGCAAAAGUGAUUCUUGUAGUAGCAGCGAGUGAAAUUAGAGCAGCCUAAACCAUGAGAACGGGGUUGUGUAAGAGUUAUACAAGUCUCAUAGCGUUAGGCAAAGUGGUGGAGUGUUCACCCUAGAUGGCAAAAGUCCAGUAUUUGAAAGCAUUACUAGCUUACGCUCUGACCCAAGUAGCAUGGGCAUGUGCAAUCCCGUGUGAAUCAGUAAGGACCAUCUUGCAAGGCUAAAUACUCCUGGGUGACCAAUAGUGAAGUAGUACUGUGAGGGAAGGGUGAAAAGAACCCUCAUCAGGGAGUGAAAUAAAGCAU